Molecule: long non-coding RNA, 2294 nt
Filed under: Marmota monax (woodchuck)
Lineage: Eukaryota; Metazoa; Chordata; Mammalia; Rodentia; Sciuridae
Source: RNAcentral
UGUGGCUCAAGUGGUAGCGCGCUCCCCUGGCAGGCAUGAGGCACUGGGUUCGAUCCUCAGCACCACAUAAAAAUAAAAUAUUGUGUCCACCUUAAAAAUAAUAAUAAUGUGUAUGUGUAGUUUCACCAAACAGCCUUAAAAAAAAAAAUGGUGCCGCUUUCUACUCCCAUCCCUGACAAAAACAUGUUAAUAUUUGUAAGUAAAUUUAGAAUGACUGAUUUAGAGAAAACUCAGACUACAAUGGCAACAAUAAAAACUGAAGUCUUUGGAGGAAUCUGUAUGGUAAGGGCUUCCCUUUGCCACAAUAGAUGGACAGAUGGACGCAGUACCAACCAGAACCCAGCAAGGGGGCCUUUGCUUCUGCCUUUUCCCCUAGAAGGUUACAAUAUUAUUGUGAAAUUCAAGGAAUGUAAAAGUGGGUAAGGGCUGAGGGUGUGGGUAAGGGCUGGGGGUGUGGCUGAGGGGUAGAAUGCCUGCUGAACAUGUCCAAGGUUCCCAGCAGCAACACACGCACACACAGAGUGAAUAGUUAGCAGGGAUGUUAAACAGUAUCCUGAAAAAGAAGAGAGCAACCUGAGUGGAUAGAAGUCAACUUAGAGGAGGAGCCGUCUGUGCUGGCUCAUGGUUGCGGGCUGCAUGGCUUGGACCUGUGGUGAGCCAGAGCACAGUGGCCGGGUGUGUGGUGGAGCACAACUGUCGGCCACGGCAGCCAGGAAGAGAGAAAGACAGGGGCCAGGGACAAGGUGUGGUCCCCCACGGCGUGCACCCAAGGACCCAUGUCCUCCAACUAGGUUCACCCGCUGCAGUCCCACCACCUCCCAAUAAUCCAUUCAGCGGUGAGUCCCGGGAGCCAGCCCUCAUGUCCAGUCACUCUGAGCAUUGCUGCCCCGGGGAAGAAGUCUUCAACACACGAAACCCUGGGGGACAUUUCAGAUCCAGCCAUAACAGCCAGCAGCGUGUGCGCCACAGCAGGGGACUCCUGAGGCCCACAGGCAGGCGUGUCCGCCAGGCUCCUGCCCUCCACGGCCCUGCAGCUGCUGGCUGGGCGCACCGCGGUCCCUCCCCACACCUAACUGUCCCUGUGUGCCGUUUCUCUGCAGGCCCAGGCCUUGUCCUCUGCCAGCAAGUUUGAAGCCGAGUUAAAAGCUGAGCAAGAUGAGCGGAAGCAGGAGGAGGAGAAGAGAAGGCUCCGCCAGGCAGCCUUCCUGGAACUCAAGGCUGCUUUCAGCGCAUAGUCCAGCAGACCCUGACCUCCGCCCACAGCGGUGCCUCCACGGUGCCAGGAGGGAUGGCCCAGCAUCUUUACCCCUGCAGGCCCCUCCCAGCCUCCUGCCUGGCCUCAGGCCUCUCCUCAGCCUCACUUGGGUGGCAAGGGGCUGCCGCCCCCCCACUGUCCUGCCCCUGCAAGAGGGUCAUGGGAUGGCCAAGUCCCCCUUGCUCACCUCUCUGCCCUCCCCUGAAGCCGGGUUCAGCCUUCCCCUUCCCUUGCUCCACGCCAGUGAGUAGCCUGUUGUGCUCAUUUGUAUAGAAAUUCUUUCUUUUGUGGUCCUCAGAGGACAUGUUAGCUCGCCAUUUUCUUGGGAAAUCCUUCUCUCCUCCCAUUUCUGUUGUCUGUCUUGGUCAGAUUCUGCCAGUUGCUUUUGUGUGGCCUUCUGUAGUGGUGGCAGGAUCCAAGGAGGCCAGGUGGACCACUGCCCACCCGCUCUCCAGCACGGGGAGCUGCAGCAGGAGAGGACUCAGCAUAAAGACCGGGAGCACUGGCCUGCAGCACCCCCCUGGCCCUCCCUCUUCAUUCCCCUCCUCCGUGUCUCCCUCCUUCUGUCUUCCACACCUAAGUGCCUGCUACUCACCUGUGAGAAGGAAGCCAUCACUAGAAGUACUGCUAAUGAGUAGAGGGGUUCCAGGUCAACUCUAACUCUGCAGAUCAUAUUACAGUGGACCCCUCAGGUUCCCACGAGGUCGGGGACUCAACCAGUGCCUUUUGAAAUCCCCAAAGUCAUGGCCAUCCUCUCCAUCGAGCCAAUUUCCAACAUCUGCUUCAAGGUAUUGAGGUAAAUAUGUUCUUACCCCUAUGAUAGAUUUUUAUAUUUGUGAGUUCUUGGGAUUGCUCACACGGACCAGGGUCUUGUUGUAUUUUUAAAAAGAAUAUUUCCUAUUGUCAUAUUUAUUACUUCACUUUUGCAACUUCUCUCUUUAGGGUAAAGAAACCAUCUGCAUUUCUACCUUAAAGCUCUUUCUUUUUAAAUAAACUGUGCAAAUGAACUUGGCCAUCACAACAAUGUACCUGAGUCUUC